CCUACGGUGGCUGCAGUGGGGAAUAUUGGACAAUGGGCGAAAGCCUGAUCCAGCCAUGCCGCGUGUGUGAAGAAGGCCUUCGGGUUGUAAAGCACUUUCAGUGGGGAAGAAAGCCUUGGGGCUAAUACCCUCGAGGAAGGACAUCACCCACAGAAGAAGCACCGGCUAACUCCGUGCCAGCAGCCGCGGUAAUACGGAGGGUGCGAGCGUUAAUCGGAAUUACUGGGCGUAAAGCGCGCGUAGGCGGUCUGAUAAGCCGGUUGUGAAAGCCCCGGGCUCAACCUGGGAACGGCAUCCGGAACUGUCAGGCUAGAGUGCAGGAGAGGAAGGUAGAAUUCCCGGUGUAGCGGUGAAAUGCGUAGAGAUCGGGAGGAAUACCAGUGGCGAAGGCGGCCUUCUGGACUGACACUGACGCUGAGGUGCGAAAGCGUGGGUAGCAAACAGGAUUAGAUACCCGAGUAGUC
RNAcentral lists this ribosomal RNA (464 nucleotides) under Vreelandella stevensii. RNAcentral describes it as "partial 16S ribosomal RNA". It matches the Rfam family "Bacterial small subunit ribosomal RNA", at positions 338 to 795 of the family's 1533-position model. The record is from RNAcentral. Lineage: Bacteria; Pseudomonadati; Pseudomonadota; Gammaproteobacteria; Oceanospirillales; Halomonadaceae.